CUCAAGAGGAUGUUCACCAAGGUUUCGGUGUUCUGCUUGCUGGCGCCAUUGUCGAGUGACUACUCAUCCACCGUGACCGCCCCGGUGUGCGUGCAACAGCAGGGCUCCUCGUGGCUACAGUUUUUUUUUGCGCCGAUGAAAGCAGGAGCACAUGCUCGUCUUCUACAUCGGAUGCUAGUCGACGUCGCUGCCGGUCGCGUCCUCGGCACCGCUGGUGGAGGCGGGGUGGCUAGAGUUUCGUCGAUGGACACGACCAGUGAAGCCUUCAUCUUCUUACGUUUCUCUCUGUCGAGUUCUGGUAACGGCGGCGGUCAUAGUGGAUGCAGCGGUCAAUG
This 335-nucleotide unclassified non-coding RNA is filed under the name Zea mays. RNAcentral describes it as "misc RNA Zm00001eb229090". Lineage: Eukaryota; Viridiplantae; Streptophyta; Magnoliopsida; Poales; Poaceae. The record is from RNAcentral.